GACGAACGCUGGCGGCGUGCUUAACACAUGCAAGUCGAACGGAAAGGCCCCUUCGGGGGUACUCGAGUGGCGAACGGGUGAGUAACACGUGAGUAACCUGCCCUUGACUUCGGGAUAACUUCAGGAAACUGGGGCUAAUACCGGAUAGGAAUCCUUGCUGCAUGGUGGGGGUUGGAAAGCUUCGGCGGUUUUGGAUGGACUCGCGGCUUAUCAGCUUGUUGGUGGGGUAGUGGCUUACCAAGGCUUUGACGGGUAGCCGGCCUGAGAGGGCGACCGGCCACAUUGGGACUGAGAUACGGCCCAGACUCCUACGGGAGGCAGCAGUGGGGAAUAUUGCACAAUGGGCGGAAGCCUGAUGCAGCAACGCCGCGUGCGGGAUGACGGCCUUCGGGUUGUAAACCGCUUUCAGCGGGGGCGAAGCUUGUGGUGACGGUACCUGCAGAAGAAGCACCGGCUAACUACGUG
Molecule: ribosomal RNA, 465 nt
Filed under: uncultured bacterium
Lineage: Bacteria
Description: partial 16S ribosomal RNA
Rfam family: Bacterial small subunit ribosomal RNA
Source: RNAcentral